GUGGGGAAUCUUCCGCAAUGGACGAAAGUCUGACGGAGCGACGCCGCGUGAGUGAAGAAGGCCUUCGGGUCGUAAAGCUCUGUCAUCAGGGACGAACGGCCGGUGGAGUGGAAAGCCACCGGAUUGACGGUACCUGAGAAGGAAGCCACGGCUAACUACGUGCCAGCAGCCGCGGUAAUACGUAGGUGGCAAGCGUUGUCCGGAAUUAUUGGGCGUAAAGCGCGCGCAGGUGGGAUCUUAAGUCCAUUUUUAAAGUUCGGAGCUCAACUCCGUGAUGGGAUGGAAACUGGGAUUCUUGAGUACCGGAGAUGAAAGCGGAAUUCCCCGUGUAGCGGUGAAAUGCGUAGAUAUGGGGAGGAACACCAGUGGCGAAGGCGGCUUUCUGGACGGUGUCUGACACUGAGGCGCGAAAGCCAGGGGAGCGAACGGGAUUAGAUACCCGGGUAGUCC
RNAcentral lists this ribosomal RNA (450 nucleotides) under uncultured bacterium. Its description in RNAcentral is "partial 16S ribosomal RNA". It matches the Rfam family "Bacterial small subunit ribosomal RNA", at positions 354 to 796 of the family's 1533-position model. The record is from RNAcentral.